UUUUAGUCCCGAUAAAAGUUGCGUCCUUUUGUAGUCUCAUUUUUUUUACAAGACCACAAAAGAUAGAACGAAUAGCGGGGCACGAG
This 86-nucleotide small RNA is filed under the name Flavobacterium sp. 11. RNAcentral's name for it is "Flavo-1 RNA". It matches the Rfam family "Flavo-1 RNA". The record is from RNAcentral. Lineage: Bacteria; Pseudomonadati; Bacteroidota; Flavobacteriia; Flavobacteriales; Flavobacteriaceae.